GCAACUCGACUGCAUGAAGCUGGAAUCGCUAGUAAUCGCGAAUCAGAAUGUCGCGGUGAAUACGUUCCCGGGCCUUGUACACACCGCCCGUCACACCAUGGGAGUUGGAAGCACCCGAAGUCGGUGACCUGACCGUAAGGAGGGAGCCGCCGAAGGUGAAGCCAGCGACUGGGGUGAAGUCGUAACAAGGUACC
RNAcentral lists this ribosomal RNA (194 nucleotides) under uncultured bacterium. Its description in RNAcentral is "partial 16S ribosomal RNA". It matches the Rfam family "Bacterial small subunit ribosomal RNA", at positions 1307 to 1500 of the family's 1533-position model. The record is from RNAcentral.